GGACUGUUAAGAAGAGAGAAUGCCGGAAUGAGUAGCGAGAUGGAGGUGGGAAUCCUCCAGGCCGAAUAUCCAAGGUUUCCAGGGUAAAGCUGAUCUGCCCUGGGGAAGUCGGGGCCUAAGGCGAGGUCGAAAGACGUAGCUGAUGGACAACAGGUUGAUAUUCCUGUACUAUCAUAUGACAGAACUGUGGGGACGCAGAAAGAGAGCCUGAGCCGGGAAAGGGAAAACCGGUGCAAGCGGGGUAGGAGUCGUGUAGGCAAAUCCGCACGGCAAUCCGAAGACGUGAUGCGGAGCGAACUAAAGUAGCGAAGCAGGUGAGCUGGCUGCCAAGAAAAGCCGCUAUUGUUCAUAUGAUACCCGUACCGUAAACCGACACAGGUGGAUGAGGAGAGAAUCCUAAGGCCGGCGGGAGAAGCAUUGUUAAGGAACUCGGCAAAAUGACCCCGUAACUUCGGGAGAAGGGGUGCCUGCGAGAGCAGGCCGCAGAGAAUAGGCUCAAGCAACUGUUUAGCAAAAACACAGGUCUAUGCGAAACCGAAAGGUGAGGUAUAUGGGCUGACGCCUGCCCGGUGCUGGAAGGUUAAGAGGAGAUGUCAGGAAACGAAGCAUUGAAUUUAAGCCCCAGUAAACGGCGGCCGUAACUAUAACGGUCCUAAGGUAGCGAAAUUCCUUGUCGGGUAAGUUCCGACCCGCACGAAAGGCGUAAUGAUUUGAGCGCUGUCUCGACAAUGCACCCGGUGAAAUUGAAGUACCAGUGAAGAUGCUGGUUACCUGCGCCAGGACGGAAAGACCCCAUGGAGCUUUACUCCAGCUUGAUACUGGGAUCCGAUGCUGUAUGUACAGGAUAGGUGGGAGGCUGAGAAGCGGUGACGCCAGUUGCCGCAGAGCCGAUGUUGGGAUACCACCCUUGCAGUAUUGGAUUUCUAACCAGCUGCCGUGACCCGGCAGUGGGACAAUGUCUGGCGGGGAGUUUGACUGGGGCGGUCGCCUCCGAAAGGGUAUCGGAGGCGCUCAAAGGUUCCCUCAGGAUGGUUGGAAACCAUCCGAAGAGUGCAAAGGCAGAAGGGAGCUUGACUGCGACACCGACGGGUGGAGCAGGUACGAAAGUAGGACUUAGUGAUCCGGUGGUAUUAAGUGGGAAUGCCAUCGCUCAACGGAUAAAAGCUACCCUGGGGAUAACAGGCUUAUCACUCCCAAGAGUUCACAUCGACGGAGUGGUUUGGCACCUCGAUGUCGGCUCAUCGCAUCCUGGGGCUGUAGCAGGUCCCAAGGGUUGGGCUGUUCGCCCAUUAAAGCGGUACGCGAGCUGGGUUCAGAACGUCGUGAGACAGUUCGGUCCCUAUCCGGCGCAGGCGGAGGAUAAUUGAGAGGAGCUGCCCUUAGUACGAGAGGACCGGGGUGGACGGACCGCUGGUGUAUCUGUUGGCUACCAAAGCCAUGGCAGAGUAGCCAAGUCCGGCAGGGAUAAACGCUGAAGGCAUCUAAGCGUGAAGCCCCCCUCAAGAUGAGUUAUCCCAAUAAGUAAGACCCCUUAGAGAGUAUGAGGUAGAUAGGUUUGAGGUGGAAGUGCAGUAAUGCAUGGAGCUGACAAAUACUAAUCGGUCGAGGGCUUAUCCU
RNAcentral lists this ribosomal RNA (1617 nucleotides) under gut metagenome. Its description in RNAcentral is "bacterial LSU rRNA". It matches the Rfam family "Bacterial large subunit ribosomal RNA", at positions 1275 to 2925 of the family's 2925-position model. The record is from RNAcentral.